GACGAACGCUGGCGGCGUGCUUAACACAUGCAAGUCGAACGGAAAGGCCCUGCUUGCAGGGUACUCGAGUGGCGAACGGGUGAGUAACACGUGGGUGAUCUGCCCUGCACUUCGGGAUAAGCCUGGGAAACUGGGUCUAAUACCGGAUAGGAGCCAUUUUUAGUGUGAUGGUUGGAAAGUUUUUUCGGUGUAGGAUGAGCUCGCGGCCUAUCAGCUUGUUGGUGGGGUAAUGGCCUACCAAGGCGGCGACGGGUAGCCGGCCUGAGAGGGUGGACGGCCACAUUGGGACUGAGAUACGGCCCAGACUCCUACGGGAGGCAGCAGUGGGGAAUAUUGCACAAUGGGCGCAAGCCUGAUGCAGCGAAGCCGCGUGGGGGAUGACGGCCUUCGGGUUGUAAACUCUUUUCGCUAGGGACGAAGCUUUUUGUGACGGUACCUAGAGAAGAAGCACCGGCUAACUACGUG
This 465-nucleotide ribosomal RNA is filed under the name uncultured bacterium. RNAcentral describes it as "partial 16S ribosomal RNA". It matches the Rfam family "Bacterial small subunit ribosomal RNA", at positions 28 to 507 of the family's 1533-position model. The record is from RNAcentral.